RNAcentral lists this long non-coding RNA (372 nucleotides) under Helianthus annuus (common sunflower). RNAcentral describes it as "sRNA HanXRQr2_Chr17g0823101". The record is from RNAcentral. Lineage: Eukaryota; Viridiplantae; Streptophyta; Magnoliopsida; Asterales; Asteraceae.
UCAGAAGAAGAGAAAGAAAGGGGUCAAACCUAGAACACCAAAAUCUAUCAAAUUGAAAGGGGAAUUGAAGCCUAGUUGAAUGCAUGAACUAAGAAUGGAGUCAUGUCAAUAGAGGCACAAAUAUGGAAGCGCUACGGGUUGAAGGUAAACACGGAAGCUAUGUGUAAAUUCGGACGCACGAGGUAAGUAAACUCCCCGACUCCUUCCUUAGUAGUAAAAGAGGUUAUUUGUAUGAUAAAUGUUAGCAAUUAUGCAAGAUGCUUUAUUGACAUUGGUAACAAGUAAGAAGCAUUAAGGACGUGAUUUCUGAAUCACUUCCUACACCAUUUUAGGAAGGCUAUAUGCGAGUCACUUAAGUAUGGUAAUCUAAGU